RNAcentral lists this ribosomal RNA (809 nucleotides) under uncultured Rhodobacterales bacterium. RNAcentral describes it as "partial 16S ribosomal RNA". Lineage: Bacteria; Pseudomonadati; Pseudomonadota; Alphaproteobacteria; Rhodobacterales. The record is from RNAcentral.
UUAGAACAGCACAUGCGGCUUUGCUAGAACAGCACAUGGGGCUUUGCGCUGAACGGAUCCCGCAGCACCCGCAGGUCGGGACGCUCGGCGAUCGUGUAGCCGGCAGCGAAAUCGCCAAAGGCAAUGGCAAAGGCAUCGUCCCCGGCAUCCGGCAUGUCCUCGACGAUCACCACCGGAUAGCCCAUCAGACGCGCAGGCUCCCCCGCCGCGAGGCCGUCCGACCACAGGAAACGACCAUCCGCAUCCUUCAGCUUGCGCACGGCACCAGCGGUCUUCGAGUUCAUCACAAAGCUCGCAUUGGCGCGGUAUUCAGCCCCCAGCGCAUAGACCAAGUCAAUGAUGCCGUCACCGCCGUUAAAAUCACCGUCAACGCCGGUCGGGACAUAGCCCAGAUUGCCCCAGGUCCACACAUCAUUGUCGACCGCACUGUGGGUCAUGAUCCCGGUCGGUUUGUCGACGCCAUCGCCGUUGAUGAACGCCGCCGCCUCGGCGCGGGCGAACUUGUCGGCGAUGCGACCCGCCAGCCAGCCGUCUAUGUUGAACGCACUGUCAUCCAGCAGACGCUGAGACGCCUUGGGCAGUGCUGACAGCUCGUGCAGCGGAAUGGUGAUACGCUCGAUAUUCGAGGUCCCGGUCUCGGUGGUGGAGGUUGUCUCAUCCGCCCAGCCCGCGCCAACGUCGCCCGAGUCAAACAGCACGUCAUACGAGGUCGCCUCGACAUUCACGACAUUGGCGAUGGCACGGAUCGACGCUGUCGAUUGCAACACAUUCCUGAUCGUGUCAGCGGGCUGCGGAUCGACCAGAUAGCC